UUCCCGGGGUGUGUGUGCGGUUAUCCCGCGGGUGUGUGCAGGAAUUCCCUGGAUAAGUGUGCGGUUAUCCCGCGGGUGUGUGCAGGAAUUCCCUGGAUAAGUGUGCGGUUGUUCCGCGGGUGUGUGUAGGAACUCCCCGGAUAAGUGUGCGGUUAUCCCGCGGGUGUGUGCGGGAAUUCCCUGGAUAAGUGUGCGGUUAUCCCGCGGGUGUGUGCAGGAAUUCCCUGGAUAAGUGUGCGGUUAUCCCGCGGGUGUGUUUAGGAACUCCCCGGAUAAGUGUGCGGUUGUUCCGCGGGUGUGUGUGCGGGAACUCCCCAGAUAAGUGUGCGGUUGUUCCGCGGGUGUGUGCAGGAAUUCCCUGGAUAAGUGUGCGGUUAUCCCGCGGGUGUGUGCAGGAAUUCCCUGGAUAAGUGUGCGGUUAUCCCGCGGGUGUGUGUAGGAACUCCCCGGAUAAGUGUGCGGUUAUCCCGCGGGUGUGUGUAGGAACUCCCCGGAUAAGUGUGCGGUUAUCCCGCGGGUGUGUGCAGGAACUCCCCGGAUAAGUGUGCGGUUAUCCCGCGGGUGUGUAAUUUACGGAGGGCCCCGAGGUUUCUCCGCCCUCCCGCAGCCCAAGCGCCGCUCCCGGCGGGCUCUGCCCGGCGCAGGAAGGAUCAGGAUGAGCUGUAGGAUUUGGCCAUAGUAAAUACAAGUGUACUUAGAGGAACCGACGUAUUGCUGAGAUACUGGCUAAGAUUGAGUCGUCACAAAAAAGUAAAAAGUAACUUUCCAGCAGAUAAGCUUUAAACACUGAUUAAUUCUGUGGCUUUCUGAGGCCACAGAGCGGCAACAAGAAAUCUUAAAGAGAACAGUUUCAAUAUAAUCUCUGUGUUUCAGUGAUCAGUCAUGUCUGCCAUCAGCACAAAUGUAAAAAGAAGAAAAAUCAGGGAUUUUUUUUUUAAUAAAGUAAUAGUGAUUUCCAAGUUAAAUAUUUUUAGAGCUGAUGCUUUCAUGUGGAAAAAAAAGUCAUAUUUUACAUAUCACGAAAGUGAACGUAUUUAAAUAUAGCCAUAUAGUGUAGUAUUUACCACACUCUCAUUCAAAUUGAUGUAUUUGGUUUAUAGAUGGCACUGACAAAAAUGUAUAAAUCAACAAUUCUAUCAUUUUUUAUCUGACAGUCAACUGGUGCAACUCUCCUUGUAACCAAAGGCCCUCUGUCUGCCUUGCGUGAUCGCUCAUGACACACACCUUAUCAUCUAUUUAGUCCUACCUUUAAAGUAGCAUUUUACCGAGUCACUUUUGAAAGCCAAAUUCAAAAGUAUCAUUUAAAAAAAUCUUCCUUUUAAGUCUGAAUAGCCAAAGUCCUAUAGAUUUCUUAUAGAAAGCAAAUAAUUUAAAAUUUAGCAUAUAAUAUGCUUGAAGAGCAUUUCUUUCUUAUUUGUGUAUAAAGAUGUAGCUCUCAUUUUGUGCCCAAUUAAAAAGGAAGUAUGUUUAAUUUAUUUUAAUGAAAUAAAGUCUGAAUACGAAGUAUGUAUCUAUAUAUGUGUGUGUGUGCAUAAUACACAUAUAUAUAAUGUAAGCACUGGGAAAUCUACUCUAACCUAAAGCUGUGCUAGACUAAAUCUGUACUCAUUGCAAAGGAAAGGCAAUGCUUUGAAAACACAAUGCUCACUAAAUGCUACAGACCCUAGCAGGACAAGUUAAUUUUUGUUUGUUUAAUAUGUUUCCCAAAGUUCACAGCGACUGGGGAAAACAGGCAACACCUCUUGCAUGGAGCUAAAGCGUGGGGUUGAAUCGUUCAGUCACUGAGACUUGGCUUCAGGUCUGCACAUUUACUGUGCACCAAGUGUCGAGCAAGCUGCCAGAGCCUCACGUGCUGCUGCAGAAGACAUCACACCUGCAAGGACCCUCUCUGCACGGGUGAUGUCUGCACUUGCUCGUAUCUUACGCCAUCAACAUCACUUUUAACACAUACAUACAUACAUAUAUGUAUGUGUGUAUGUGUGUGUGUGUGUGUGUGUGUGUGUGUGUGUGUGUGUGGAAGGAGAGGGUGUUGUUUUCUUAACCAGGAGGCUAAAGAUUCCCUGAGUUUUGGCCUUGAACAGAGGAAAAAAGCAGUGACUUUGCAGUAGAUUUCUCAGUGCCUUUUUUAAAAAACUUCACCUAAGCACACUUAUGGAAAAAAACCCAACCCAAAACAAGAGAGUCUCCUGUGAAAUCCACAUUUUUUAUGAAAGGUUUGAGAGCCAAAAAAAAAAGGUAGAAGAAAGGAAAAAAAUAAAAGCAAGAGAGAGGAAAAGCAAUCUGUGGAACGCACAUUCCCUUCCUGAACAUGCCGUGUGUCAAAUGCCGGGGAAUUUCUGCCUGGGCGAGUCAUGAGAAACAUCUGAGGCGGUCAGGUUGUUUGGCAACUAUGGCUGUGACAAACUGUAGCCUUUUCUUCCCUUGCAGCUAAUAAGAUACACAUUUCUAAGGAAAACAGUAUUCUCUUCUGUAAAAUUGUAAUGUAUUGUUAAUAUUUGUACCUACUGUAUAUUUAUGUCUUGACAGAAUUCUGACCGGUACAGUUUAUAGUCAAUAAGGAGGUUAUGUAAAACUCAUCACAAAGGUUUCUAAAGCCACGUUCUCUCUGUUGGUGAGCUCCACACAACACCUCAUCCCAAAGCAAACCCUGCAAUUCCUGGGGAAGGAGGCCCAGAGGGGCUUCCCUGGGCUCCAAAGCAGCCCCAGCCCCCAUGAGUGGUCAGUCAUUCUGCACACAACAAGUGCUACCUUGGGUUCGUUUGGAUCACCCAUUUGGGGAGAAUAUGGCUUUAAAGAGUUCUUGAAUAAAGUACAGAUGUUCUGGUUACCUCUGUACUUCCUGCUUGCCAUUGUGUUGGCUUUAUAAGUACCUGAUGUAUGGAAAAGUCGUGUGACUUUCAUGCAUUCCAGAGUAGUCUAUUUUUCUGUUCAGAUUGAAAAAAAAUUAUAUAUAUAUAUAUAAAUAUAAAUAUAUAUCUGUAUUUUUAGCAAAUUUAUAAUAGGGCAAUCAAGUCAGAUUUCUUCUUUUGUAUUACAGAAUAAUAUAUUAGAAGCUCUCUCAGUGUUCAUUUACACAGCUGAUCCCCCAACAUUUUGUUGUUGUUAUUUUCUUUUUUUCUGAUAAACACCUGCAACAUUCCUCCUGGAAGUGCAUCUGUGAAAGGUCAUGGGGUUUGUCUGAUGUUGCAUGUUUUUGUAUUUUCCUGUUUGUGCUACUUUAACCAGGGACUGGCUAUGGGAACUGAGAUAUUCCUGCUGGGGAAUGUGAAGCAGGCCAGACUGCCCUGGUGACAGCAGGGGAAGGGCACCCAACACGCCUGGCUGCAGUUCCUCCAGAUUACAUCAAGAACAGAAAGAAGAGACAGGCUUUGAAUCUAAUUGUCCUAAUAGUGACAUGAUGGAGUUGGGAUAAGCAUCAAAAUCCAGGCUCUUAUUCAAGGCAGCGACCUGACAAUGCUCAGGCACCUUCAGGGAAGCUUUUCCUGGAUUAAAACAGAAGGGUCCAGACUUCUCUUUCCCACUGGGUUUUGGAAUUUUUAUUUUUGGUCCCAGAGGAAAUCAGGAAAUGAAAAAAAAAAUUGUGGAGGAAUGAGAAGUGUGAACAUUCAAAAAGGGACCAGAUUUUGAUUUAGUUAUGGUAAAAUCUGUCUGUGUCCACGUACCUGCUUAUGUAAUGAUCUUCUUUGCUCCUUUGUAGCUGUACCCACAGGCAUAUUCACAGAAAUUUAAUAAGAAGUCCAUGAGAUAAAUGUUCAUCCUGAAGCUAUCUCAUGGCCUGUUGAAAUUUAGCACGAUGAAGAACUUCAGAGCCACUCUAGCUCUGCACAGACAUUUCCUUCUGAUUCAGCCCAGAAGUUUGGGCAGUGACCGUGCUUUUGCCAGAGAUGGAGUUUUGGUUCCAUUUCCUUUCGUUUGUUUGUGAGAUUUUCUUCCAUGUCCACUAUAAUAGCCAAUAAACCUGACACAGAUGUAAUUUGGAAAGGUGUGUGUUUCAGAAAGUCCAGGUAUCCCUCGAAUGAAAGGAAGACACUAGACCCAGUUCUGCAUGUGACUAUCAGCAAGACCUGUUCACAAAUGAAGGUAUUAAAGUUGGGUGGGAUUUUUCUUUCUUAGGAAGCAAUUAAUGCAAUAGGCUGCCAUAUCUAUCGUCAGCAAUCACACAAAUCCCUUCAAAAGGCGCCUUCCAUGUCAGCAAGUUUGUUAGAGCAUAGUCAACAAAACCACAGAAUGCUUCUGGUCAGCCCACUCUUACCUCUGCCCUCCCACACCAGGGCAGGAGCAGCCCAAAUGCCCCAAAUGAAGAAGAGAUGUUUAUUUUCCAGCAAGGAUCUUGCACCCCAUGCUGAUCACAUUUAGGCUCUUGCACUGAAACUUUGUCUCGGCCAGGCAAAGGAAACCUUAGGAAAACUGAAAAUCUGCAUCCAGGAUGAGAUCCUGUUCGUUCCUGGAGUUACCUAAGCCACAGUAAGUGUCCUUUGACACCAAUGGUUGGGUGCCACAAGUGUUCAUAUCUGUAAAUACUACUCCAAAUUUUGCUUUGCUUGAUUCUGGCUUCAUUGCACAAGAAUUUUUCAGUCUUAGAAGCUUAGAAGAGAAAGCAAAACCUCCUUUGUUUUAACUAAAAUAAUACUGUUGAUGCUCUGUAGGACUGAACAAGGACUAACCUUUAUUUUUAAAGGGGUCUUUCCAACAGUGCAGUGACACUACCUUCAAAAAUUAAUAAGGCUGAGCUCCGUACAAAGAGCCCUCAAAACUAGAGCCUCAUGAAAGCCAAGAAGCCAAAUUUGUAUGAAAUGCUAAAUUCUUUGCUGCUGUAAGUUAAAGCCCAUUGAGGCCAAUGGAGCUGUGCCCCCUUUAGAUCAGUAAAGAAUUUGGAUCCAUACCUCUAAAAGCUAAUGGAAAAUUAAUCACUUUGUACAGGCUCAGGGCUGGAGGUGUCUGCCCACAGCACCUCCUUGGAAACCAGUGGGCUGAGGGAAUGGGAAACAGAAGCAGGUCAGGGAAAGCCUGGGAAAGGGGGAAUCCUUCAGACAGGAGGGUGGCAGCCACUGCAGCCACGACUGAGCAUCCCCACGGCAGCACACUGUGCACCUGAUGGCACGAGCAGGUCCCACUCACAGGUGACUGUCUGUCUGUCCCUCCAGCAGGUCCCACUCACAGGUGACUGUCUGUCUGUCCCUCCAGCAGGUCCCACUCACAGGUGCCUGUCUGUCUGUCCCUCCAGCAGGUCCCAGACUCACAGGUGACUGUCUGUCUGUCCCUCCAGCAGGUCCCACUCACAGGUGACUGUCUGUCUGUCCCUCCAGCAGGUCCCAGACUCAGCCCCACAGUUCAGCACUCUGCCCUCGGCCCAGGAUUGCUGGAGCUGAGAGGACACUGCCAGCAGAGGGGCCAUGGGUUACCUGGAAUUGUGGCACAACCUCUGGUCCUGUUGCUAAUCAAUAUUUAAGACCAUUCAUCCGUUCUUCUCUGCACUGUGUUUUUCAUUUAGGAGCUCUGCCAUUUAUGACUCUUCUUCCUGUUAUGUUUUACUGCCUCCACAUACUCUUCACCACACGUUGGCUCCUGCAACCUCUGUGAUUUAUUUUGUUUAUGUCAGUUUUUUGUUGGCUUAUGAGGAACAUUUUUUCCCCCAUUCUCUGGCUUUUUGGUGGUCGGUGCAGAAAAUUACUUUUGCAUUGAACCAUUCUGCAUUGGUGUAUUUGGGGGGAGGGUGGGAGAGCAGCAUCUCCAUUUCACUUUGAAUUUUGAAGCCAUGAUACGGCACUCAGAAAGGCCAGCCACAGCUACCAACCAAACUCUCUUCCCAACUAGAUUAGCAUUAAAAAAUCCACCCCCACUUCCUGCAGCAGAAUCCUGCUCUCUCAUCAGGCCACUGAAGCAGUUUUGGAAAAGGGGGAAAACAUCAGCACAUCAGCGAGGGCUGCGGGUGCUGCUCAGUGAUGUCCCCGUGCCCGAGGCUGUGGUGCCACCAGGGCUGGGCCAGGGCCCAGGCAAAGGGACAUCCCCAAAGGGCAGCCCUAAGUCACUGUGGGGUCCUUUUAAAAGAGAAAGUGAUACUUAAUGACAAAUGAAAACUGGAAAAUGUGUUUCCUGUGGCUCUGCUGGUACAUUUAGAUCAAAUUGCUUUUACAGCUGAAACUGAAACUGGCUGUGACCCAGAAAGGGCAGACUGGGACCGGUUUCUCCAUUGCCUUGCACUGAGUUAUUUCUUAACCCACGCAGUGGGGAAUCACUGGGGAGCCCAGCUCAGCGUGUCUGUAAGGAAGGGCAGUGCUUGUGCCCCAUAGCCCAGCAGAUCCUGCAUGUCUUGCACAAUCUCUUCAUUGGGUUAUAUUGGAAAUCACUCAAUUCAUCAGUUAUACUGGUCCAAUGCACCAGCAGAUGUUUUCUUCCCUUUUAAGAAAUGUUUCAAUGCCCUGGCACGUUGGGGUGAUUACAGCAACAUUAGCCAUAUACUAGUGUACUUAGAGUCUUACAUUUUUUGUAACUUUGAUUUAGUCAUUCUUUGUUGAAGUUUAUUGACCUCUCCAGUUGUUUCUGUAAAACAAAUUAUUAAAAAAAAAAAUCCGUGUCUUUAUAUGCAUGUAAUAAUAUGAAACUGUGAUCAAUGUGUGACAUUCAGAAACUGUACUGUCUUGUAAAAUAUGUCCAAAUGUCUAAGGGUUUUAAAGCAAUGGUCCCUUACUACAGCCUACAGAAAUAAAUAAAAAGGAAUGGAAAAACCUAAA
Molecule: long non-coding RNA, 6731 nt
Organism: Catharus ustulatus (Swainson's thrush)
Lineage: Eukaryota; Metazoa; Chordata; Aves; Passeriformes; Turdidae
Exons: 2
Source: RefSeq, a predicted model, not a curated record